GAUGAACGCUGGCGGCGUGCCUAAUACAUGCAAGUCGAGCGAACAGACGAGGAGCUUGCUCCUCUGACGUUAGCGGCGGACGGGUGAGUAACACGUGGAUAACCUACCUAUAAGACUGGGAUAACUUCGGGAAACCGGAGCUAAUACCGGAUAAUAUAUUGAACCGCAUGGUUCAAUAGUGAAAGACGGUUUUGCUUUCACUUAUAGAUGGAUCCGCGCCGCAUUAGCUAGUUGGUAAGGUAACGGCUUACCAAGGCAACGAUGCGUAGCCGACCUGAGAGGGUGAUCGGCAACACUGGAACUGAGACACGGUCCAGACUCCUACGGGAGGCACCAGUAGGGAAUCUUCCGCAAUGGGCGAAAGCUUGACGGGGCAACGCCGCGGGGGUGAUGAAGGUCUUCGGAUCGUAAAACUCUGUUAUUGGGGAAGAACAAAUGUGUAAGUAACUAUGCACGUCUUGACGGUACCUAAUCAGAAAGCCACGGCUAACUACGUG
This 497-nucleotide ribosomal RNA is filed under the name uncultured bacterium. RNAcentral describes it as "partial 16S ribosomal RNA". It matches the Rfam family "Bacterial small subunit ribosomal RNA", at positions 28 to 507 of the family's 1533-position model. The record is from RNAcentral.